This 408-nucleotide ribosomal RNA is filed under the name Plesionida concava. RNAcentral describes it as "partial 16S ribosomal RNA". The record is from RNAcentral. Lineage: Eukaryota; Metazoa; Arthropoda; Malacostraca; Decapoda; Munididae.
UUAAAUUAAGAGCAUAAGGGUGAGCUUUAUGUUCAAUAAUUAAAAAAAAAUGGGCAGGCUUAUAAUUUUCUAUAAAUUAGAUUUUUUAGUGGUCAUAUUUUUAAAGUGUUUUAACUAGUAAAGUAAAAAAAAUUUAAUAGUUUUGUCCUUUAGGUUUAGCGGGGUGUUUUUUUAAAUAAAAAUAGGUUAGAGAUAAUGGGAGUAUUAGUAGAAAAUAUAAAAUGUUAAAUUGUAGUUAUAAAUUUAUUAUAAAUUUUUAAUUUAAGGAGAGAAUAAAUAAAGGAAUUCGGCAAAAUUUUUUCUUGCCUGUUUAGCAAAAACAUGUCUGUGUGAAGUUACAUGGAGUCUGACCUGCCCGUUGAAGAAGUUUGAAAGGCCGCGGUAUAUUAACUGUGCAAAGGUAGCAUA